UUAUAUUUAAGUGUUAGAAGCAUAGGAAAUUUUGAUUUUCCAGGGUAUGGUUUGAUUCCAUAAAAUAUAAU
RNAcentral lists this transfer RNA (71 nucleotides) under Stiretrus anchorago. RNAcentral describes it as "tRNA-Gln". The record is from RNAcentral. Lineage: Eukaryota; Metazoa; Arthropoda; Insecta; Hemiptera; Pentatomidae.